This 384-nucleotide ribosomal RNA is filed under the name uncultured bacterium. RNAcentral describes it as "bacterial SSU rRNA". It matches the Rfam family "Bacterial small subunit ribosomal RNA", at positions 32 to 396 of the family's 1533-position model. The record is from RNAcentral.
AAUCAACGCUGGCGGCGUGCCUCAGACAUGCAAGUCGAACGCGAAAUUUCCCUUCGGGGAGAAAGUAGAGUGGCGCACGGGUGAGUAACACGUAGGUAAUUUGCCUUUGGGCGGGGAAUAACUCAGGGAAACUUGGGCUAACACCGCAUAAUGCAGCGGCACCACAUGGUGACAGUUGUUAAAGCGGGGGAUUUUAGGACCUCGCGCCUGAAGAGGAGCCUGCGGCGGAUUAGCUAGUUGGAGGGUAACGGCUUACCAAGGCGACGAUCCGUAACCGGCCUGAGAGGGCGGUCGGUCACACUGACACUGACAUACGGGUCAGACUCCUACGGGAGGCAGCAGUCGGGAAUUUUGGGCAAUGGGCGAAAGCCUGACCCAGCAACG